This 29-nucleotide non-coding RNA is filed under the name Bombyx mori (domestic silkworm). Lineage: Eukaryota; Metazoa; Arthropoda; Insecta; Lepidoptera; Bombycidae. The record is from RNAcentral.
UCAUACUUGAAGGCGGCACAAUUCCACUC